UAGUGUAUCCUGAGUACGGCGGGACACGAGUAAUCUUGUCGGAAUCCACGGGGACCAUCCCGUAAGGCUAAAUACUUUCUAAUGACCGAUAGUGAACAAGUACCGUGAGGGAAAGGUGAAAAGAACCCCGGGAGGGGAGUGAAAUAGAAUACUGAAACCAUAUGCUUACAAAAAGUUCGAGCCCGUUAAUGGGUGAGAGCGUGCCUUUUGCAGAAUGAGCCGGCGAGUUAUGGUAUUGUGCAAGGUUAAGUGGAAAACACGGAGCCGAAGCGAAAGCGAGUCUUAAUAGGGCGAUUUAGUACAAUGCUGUAGACCCGAAACCGAGUGAUCUAGCCAUGAGCAGGUUGAAGUAAGGGUGAAACCUUAUGGAGGACCGAACCAGGACACGUUGUAAAGUGUUUGGAUGACUUGUGGUUAGCGGUGAAAUUCCAAUCGAACUCGGAGAUAGCUGGUUCUCCCCGAAAUAGGUUUAGGCCUAGCCUCGGAUAAUGCUACCUGGAGGUAGAGCACUGAAUAUGCAAUGGCCCCGUCUAGGGGUACUGAGUGUAAUCAACCUCCGAAUGCCAGGCAAGUAGAUCCGGGAGUCAGUGUAUGAGGUGAUAACGUCCAUACGCGAGAGGAAAAUAAUCCAGACCGUCAGCUAAGGUCCCAAAAUAUAUGUUAAGUGGGAAAGGAUGUGGAGUCGCACGAACAGCUAGGAGGUUGGCUUAGAAGCAGCCAUCCUUUAAAGAGUGCGUAAUAGCUCACUAGUCGAGUAACUCUGCGCCGAAGAUGUACCGGGGCUAAACAUAUUACCGAAGCUACGGAUUCAUGUUUACAUGAAUGGUAGGGGAGCGUUCUAAGGGCACUGAAGAUAGACCGUGAGGACUAUUGGAGCGCUUAGAAGUGAGAAUGCCGGCGUGAGUAACGUAAGGUAGGUGAGAAUCCUACCCACCGUUUGACCAAGGUUUCCAGGGUAAAGUUCGUCUUCCCUGGGUUAGUCAGGACCUAAGGCGAGGCCGAGAGGCGUAGUCGAUGGACAACAGGUUUAUAUUCCUGUACUACUUAUAUGACUGAUGGAGUGACGGAGAAGGAUAGGAGGAUCCUGUUAUUGGAUUCAGGUCUAAGCACAAAGGUUGAUGCAUUGGCAAAUCCGUGACAUCGAUAAGACUGAAGUGUGAUGGCGACGUAUUCUACGGAAUACUAAGUCCUCUGACUCCAUGCUUCCAAGAAAAGCUUCUAAAGAUAUUGUAUAAGUACCUGUACCGCAAACCAACACAGGUGGUCAAGGAGAGUAUCCUAAGGUGAGCGAGAGAACUAUGGUUAAGGAACUCGGCAAAAUUACCCCGUAACUUAGGGAGAAGGGGAGGUCUGUUCUGCAGACCCGCAGUGAAUAGGCCCAGGCAACUGUUUACCAAAAACACAGGUCUCUGCUAAAGCGUAAGCUGAUGUAUAGGGGCUGAUGCCUGCCCAGUGCUGGAAGGUUAAGAGGAUUUGUUAGAUGGACGUAAGUCGAUAACAUCGAAGCAUUGAAUUGAAGCCCCAGUGAACGGCGGCCGUAACUAUAACGGUCCUAAGGUAGCGAAAUUCCUUGUCAGGUAAGUUCUGACCCGCACGAAAGGCGUAAUGAUCUG
This 1613-nucleotide ribosomal RNA is filed under the name human gut metagenome. RNAcentral describes it as "bacterial LSU rRNA". It matches the Rfam family "Bacterial large subunit ribosomal RNA", at positions 399 to 2011 of the family's 2925-position model. The record is from RNAcentral.